GACGAACGCUGGCGGCGUGCCUAAUACAUGCAAGUCGAGCGGACGGACCGUAAGCUUGCUUUUCUUUCGUUAGCGGCGGACGGGUGAGUAACACGUGGUCAACCUUCCAUUUAGGCGGGGAUCACAGCGAGAAAGCGGAGCUCAUACCGGAUAACACUUUUUGUCGGAUGGUUGGAAAGUGUUAGCCGGUGCGGGUUAGCGCGACGGGUUGGGCCCGCGGCGCAUGGGCAAGUUGGUGAGGUAACGGCUCACGAAGGCGACGAUGGGUAGCCGACGUGAGAGGGUGAACGGCCACACUGGGAGUGAGACACGGCACAGACUCCUACGGGAGGCAGCAGUAGGGAAUCUUCCGCAAUGGAGGAAAGUCUGACGGAGCAACGCCGCGUGAGCGAAGAAGGCCUUCGGGUCGUAAAGCUCUGUUGUUAGGGAAGAACAAGUAAGGCAGUAACUGGGCUUAUCGUGACGGUACCUAACGAGAAAGCCACGGCUAACUACGUG
This 498-nucleotide ribosomal RNA is filed under the name uncultured bacterium. Its description in RNAcentral is "partial 16S ribosomal RNA". It matches the Rfam family "Bacterial small subunit ribosomal RNA", at positions 28 to 507 of the family's 1533-position model. The record is from RNAcentral.